RNAcentral lists this ribosomal RNA (2858 nucleotides) under Cryptoglena skujai. RNAcentral describes it as "bacterial LSU rRNA". It matches the Rfam family "Bacterial large subunit ribosomal RNA". The record is from RNAcentral. Lineage: Eukaryota; Euglenozoa; Euglenophyceae; Euglenales; Euglenaceae.
UUAAAUGAAUUAAGGCUUAUGUUGGAUAGCUUGGUACUUAUAGACGAAGAAGGGCGUAGUAACUGACGAUAUGCUUUAGGGAGCGAGAAACACGCUUAGAUCUAGAGAUUCCCGAAUAGAGUAAUCUUUAAUAACUAUUAUUGAAUUUCUAAAUAAUAUGUAGUGAACUUGGUGAACUGAAACAUCUUAGUAGCCAAAGGAAAAGAAAGCAAAUGCGAUUUCCUUAUUAGCGGUGAGCUAACAGGAAUCAGCCCAAACCUUUUAAGGUGUAGUGGGAAUGAUACUAUAAUAAUAAGAUUUUUGAAGUUGUUGAAUGCAAUACCAUAGAAGGUUGUUAGUCCUGUAAAUAAUUUUUAUUUUUCAUUUUCCCAAGUAGCAUAGAGCACGUGGAAUUCUGUGUGAAUCAGCGAGGACCACCUCGUAAGGCUAAAUACUAAUAAGUGACCGAUAGUGAAUUAGUACCGUGAGGGAAAUGCUGAAAAGAACCCUGAGAAGGGAGUGAAAAGAUCAUGAAAACAUAAGCUUACAAGCAGUAGGAGACUUUUCAAAGUUGACUGUGUGCCUGUUGAAGAAUGCGCUGUCGACUUAUAGGUCGUGGCUUGGUUAAGGUUUUUAUUCCGGAGCCAUAGUGAAAACGAGUUUGAAUAGAGCGUUUGUCACGAUUUAUAGACCCGAACCCGGGUGAUCUAAUCAUGAUCAGGUUGAAGCUCGGAUAAAACCGAGUGGAGGACCGAACCCACCAAUGUUGAAAAAUUGGGGGAUGAAUUGUGAUUAGCGGAGAAAUUCCAAUCGAACUCGGAGCUAGCUGGAUCUCUUCGAAAUGCGUUGAGGCGCAGCGGUUGAUUAAGGUAUUUUUAGGGGUAAAGCACUGUUUCGGUGAGGGCCAUGAAAGUGGUACCAAGCUGUAGCAAACUCAGAAUACUAAAUUUUAUUUCAAUUAACCAGUGAGACUGUGGGGGAUAAGCUUCAUUGUCAAGAGGGAAACAGCCCAGAUCACCAUUUAAGGCCCCUAAAUAAUUGCUAAGUGAUAAAGGAUGUAAUAGUACAUAGACAACCAGGAGGUUUGCCUAGAAGCAGCAAUCCUUUAAAAAGUGCGUAAUAGCUUACUGGUCAAGUGCUUUUGCGCCGAAAAUGAAUGGGACUAAGUAAUUUGCCGAAAGUGUGAGAUUAUAUCGGUAGAAGAGCGUUCUGUAUUAGUGUGAAGCAAUGGCGGGAGCUUUUGUGGACUAUUCAGAAGUGAGAAUGACAGCUUAAGUAACGAAAACAUUGGUGGAAAUCCAAUGCUCCGAAAACCUAAGGAUUCCCUCGCAAGGUUCGUCCACGAGGGGUUAGUCAGGACCUAAAAUGAGGUUUAAAAACAUAGUUGAUGGUUAACGGGUUAAUAUUCCCGUACUGCUUAUUUGUUUUGUUAAAGUUGACGAAGGAGGCUAGUUCGGCCAGUUUUUGGUUAUUAUUGGUUAAAUCUUCAAAGGCGUAGAGAUUAGUUAUAAAAAACUUUUUGAGCUAAUGAGAAAUUACGAUAGGUGUUACGGCACUGAAAGUGAAUGAGGUCAAACUUCCUAGAAAAUACUUGGUAACGUUUAACAGAUAGUACCUGUACCUUAAACUGACACAGGUAGGUUAGUAGAGAAUACUAAGGAGCGCGAGAUAACUCUUUCUAAGGAACUCGGCAAAAUGACUCUGUAACUUCGGGAGAAAGAGUGCCUUAUAUUUAUAAGGCCGCAGUGAUCAGAUCCAAGCGACUGUUUACCAAAAACACAGGUCUCCGCUAAGUUGAAAAACAAUGUAUGGGGGCUGACGUCUGCCCAGUGCCGGAAGGUUAAAGAAAUUGGUUAGCAAUUGCGAAGCUAGUGACUGAAGCCCUGGUGAACGGCGGCAGUAACUAUAACUGUCCUAAGGUAGCGAAAUUCCUUGUCGGGUAAGUUCCGACCUGCACGAAAGACGUAACGAUUUGGAUACUGUCUCAGGAAGAGGCUCGGUGAAAUAGAAUUGACUGUGAAGAUGCGGUCUACUUACACUUGGACAGAAAGACCCUAUGAAGCUUUACUGUAACUUGAAAUUGGUUUUGGAUUUUUUUUGCGCAGGGAAUAGGUGGGAGGCUAUGAACCUCUUUUUCGGAAGAUGGGGAGCUGUAAUGUGAGAUACCACUCUUGAAAAAUUAGAAAUCUAAUGAUAUUUUAAUCAUGAUAUUUGACAGUUUCAGGUGGGCAGUUUUACUGGGGCGGUAGCCUCCUAAAAGGUAACGGAGGCGCACAAAGGUUUUCUCAGGCUGGACGGAAAUUAGUUGUAGAGUGUAAAGAUAUAAGAAAGCUUGACUGUGAGACUUAUAAGUCGAACAGAGACAAAAGUCGGUCUUAGUGAUCCGAAGUUGCUGUGUGGAAAGGACUUCGCUUAUCAGAUAAAAGUUACUCUAGGGAUAACAGGCUGAUCUCCCCCAAGAGUUCACAUCGACGGGGAGGUUUGGCACCUCGAUGUCGGCUCAUCGCAUCCUGGGGCAGUAGUAUGUCCCAAGGGUUAGGCUGUUCGCCUAUUAAAGCGGUACGUGAGCUGGGUUCAGAACGUCGAGAGACAGUUCGGUCCAUAUCCGGUGUAAGCGUUAGAGCAUUGAAAGGAGCUUUCCUUAGUACGAGAGGACCGGGAAUGACACACCACUGAUUUGCCAGUUUUUGUACCAACGGAAAACGCUGGGUAGUCACGUGUGGAGUGGAUAACUGCUGAAAGCAUAUAAGUAGGAAGCCCACCUUAAGAUUAGUGCUCUUUUUUAGGUCACGAUCAGAUUAAUCGUUUUAUAGGUAUUAGGUGUAAGUUUAGUAAUAAAUUUAGCUGAGAUAUACUAAUAGACCGCAAAAUUUAACCUU